Molecule: unclassified non-coding RNA, 1516 nt
Filed under: Hevea brasiliensis (rubber tree)
Lineage: Eukaryota; Viridiplantae; Streptophyta; Magnoliopsida; Malpighiales; Euphorbiaceae
Source: RNAcentral
UUGCUUCUGCCCUGGAAAGUCCAGGUUCUUUUCUUGGUUUUGUUCUUUUUUAUGCUUUUGCCUAAUUCAAUUCAUUGUUUUGCUAAUUGUUUGUUCGGAUUCGCUUUCGGCUUUUGAUGUAUAGUUUGUUGAAUUGGGGUCAUUGUAAAGGAUGAAAGAUGACAAGGUUUUGGCAUUAACAUUUAACAAUUUUACAUGUCCUAGAACCAUGUUUAUCACAUAGACACAGUUUAGUUUUAGAGUAGAAAGGAUAAUAAUUUGAAUAUUAUUGAUCUAAUUUUUACCAGAAUAAGAAAGAGAAAGGAAAAUCUAGAGUACUUGGGACAUGCAAUUUUCUUUCUUUUUUUUUUUUUUAGGUCUUCUAUUCUCUUUCCCCUUCAAUAAGCCUAUGCACUUCCGCCCAUUCUCAGAUCAGAUCUCAUCAUUUUGUCUGGUGGGUAACUGGAUUUUCAUAUCACCAGGAAGAAAGAAAACAUGGGUCGUGGAAAGAUCGAGAUCAAGAGGAUUGAAAACCCUACUAACAGGCAGGUCACCUACUCGAAGAGAAGAAAUGGAAUUUUCAAGAAAGCACAAGAGCUCACAGUUCUUUGUGAUGCUAAGGUUUCUCUUAUCAUGUUCUCUAAUACUGGAAAAUUCCAUGAGUUCAUUAGCCCUACUACAACGACAAAGACGAUGUUUGACCAAUAUCAGAACACUUUAGGCAUAGAUCUGUGGAGCACUCAUUAUGAGAGAAUGCAAGAGCACCUAAGAAAGCUGAGAGAGAUCAAUAACAAGUUGAGAAGAGACAUCAGGCAGAGAAUGGGUGAGGAUCUAAAUGAUGCGAGCUUCGCUGAGCUGCGCGGUCUUGAGGAAAGAAUGGAUUCUGCAUUGGAGCUUGUACGUGAAAGGAAGUAUCAUGUGCUCAAAACACAGACAGACACCCGCAGGAAGAAGGUAAGAAAUUUAGACGAAAGACAUGGAGAUCUUCUGUUAGAAUAUGAAGCAAAAUGUGAGGAUCUACAAUAUGGUUUAGUGGAUAAUGAAGGAGAUUAUGAGUCUACAAUUACACUUGCAAAUGGAGCAUCCAAUCUCUAUGCUUUCCGGCUGCACCACGGCCACCCGACGGCUAAUGGAGGAGGGUAUGGAUCCCAGGAACUCCGCCUUGCUUGAGUGGCGCUGCUUAAUUUCCCUCCAUAAACAUCUACUUAAUCUAAUCUAGUCUAAUAUAAAAAUGCAUUCUAAGAAAUGCAAUAUUUAAUGGAAUAAGAUGAAGUUUAUUAUAAUAUAUGAGCUGUGUAGUGUAUGGCCUGAAAGUAGAAUUGGGGGGGCUUUCAGGUGGGUCCUCUUUUGAGUCUUGUGCUUGAAGCAUAUGUCUCUACCAUAUUUAGUUGAAAUGUUUGGAGUCAUUUCUCAUUAUUGUCUCUGAUAUUGGGAACUUAAUUACAUGUAUUUGGAGAAAGUAAUAUUAAUUUCAAAGCACAGAUGCUCUUACUUGCUGAUUUUUGCAAUUGGCAGAGUUCAGGGACUAAUAAACUUG